Molecule: ribosomal RNA, 360 nt
Filed under: uncultured Syntrophomonas sp.
Lineage: Bacteria; Bacillati; Bacillota; Clostridia; Eubacteriales; Syntrophomonadaceae
Description: bacterial SSU rRNA
Rfam family: Bacterial small subunit ribosomal RNA
Source: RNAcentral
UCUUAAUUUUAGUGGCGGACGGGUGAGUAACGCGUGGGCAACCUACCUAUUAGUGGGGGAUAACAGUUGGAAACGACUGCUAAUACCGCAUAAGCUGAAAAAGACGCAUGUUUUUUUCAGGGAAGAUGGCCUCUGAAUAUGCUAUCGCUAGUAGAUGGGCCCGCGUCUGAUUAGCUAGUUGGUGGGGUAACGGCCUACCAAGGCUGCGAUCAGUAGCCGGCCUGAGAGGGUGGACGGCCACACUGGGACUGAGACACGGCCCAGACUCCUACGGGAGGCAGCAGUGGGGAAUAUUGCGCAAUGGGGGAAACCCUGACGCAGCGACGCCGCGUGAGCGAUGAAGGCUUUAGGGUCGUAAAG